Molecule: ribosomal RNA, 270 nt
Filed under: uncultured bacterium
Lineage: Bacteria
Description: partial 16S ribosomal RNA
Rfam family: Bacterial small subunit ribosomal RNA
Source: RNAcentral
CUGUACCUACGGGGCGCAGCAGGAGGGAAUUUUCGUCAAUGGGCGCAAGCCUGAACGAGCAAUGCCGCGUGAACGAGGAAGGUCUUCGGAUCGUAAAGUUCUGUUGAAGGGGAAAAAGAGCGGAGAGAGGAAAUGGUCUCCGAUUGAUAUUCCCCUUCGAGGAAGUCACGGCUAACUACGUGACAGCAGCAGCGGUAAUACGGAGGUGGCGAGCGUUAUCCGGAAUGAUGGGGCGUAAUGGGUGCGUAGGCGGCGUGCUAAGUCUGGAGU